This 6118-nucleotide long non-coding RNA is filed under the name Brassica rapa (field mustard). RNAcentral describes it as "long non-coding RNA (BRAP_LNC008399)". Lineage: Eukaryota; Viridiplantae; Streptophyta; Magnoliopsida; Brassicales; Brassicaceae. The record is from RNAcentral.
GGAUUCCCAAUCCAAGACCCAUGGUGGUGUGAUGGCCAUAAAGAGGCAGUUUUGGGAGAGAUCGAGGGGGAAAGUUAUGAACGACUUUCUGGUGGCUUUUGAUCCGUGAUGUUAUCACCCAACGCAUCCUCCAGGGCCUGAGAACACACGCAAAUGGUGAGGAGAGAAGGUAGAUGACCCGAAUUCAUUCCUAAAGGCCAAGACAGCCUUAAGGGCAGAUGUGUGUAGAAAGGCAGUUUCAUGGAAGUGCAAGGGGAGUUAUGAACGACCCUGUGGUAGGUUUUCACCACUGAUGAACACGUCCUAGGCUUCCUCUGCAUCUUGGGAACACACGCAAACACCCAGGAGAGAAGGGAGAAGGCCGGACUUCACUCACAAUGGCAUGAAUAGCCUUGAAGGUGGAUGCAGUGUAGAAACUGGUUUCAUGGAAAUCCAUGGAAGGGAUCAGGGGUGCGACCCGUGAAUGGAUCUUAUCAAUACAGGAGGUAUGUGAUAAGGGUUGAUAGUUGCGUGCACUGGAGGAGCAUGGCCGAACAUAAUAAGGAAAGGCACAUGAUCUAAUCAGAUCAUGUAUAAGGUAACCGGUUUUAUGAUUACCUUUGAAUUACAAUUCUGUUGACUGUGGAAUUGAUCAUGGCCAAGUAUGGCACGUCCUUGAGGACUAUAUAUAUUAGGAAUGUUUAUGGUGUAGUCUGUUGGAUCAGGCCUGAUGGCACUGAACCAAGGCCUUGGCCGGUUCAGGAAUGGUGCCCAUGGCCUUGGCCGGGCUGUUCAUGAUCAGGAUCUAUAUGGUCUGGGUCGAUUCUUUGGAAUCUGAUUAUGGGAAUCUCUUAGUUAUGAAUUAUCAUGAGUUUUCAUGUAUUUUAAUCAAUUUUUAGGAAUUGAUUUGAUGAUGUCCAGUUUUGGCCGGUUUGGCUGAUUUUGACCGAGAUCUAUAGGAUCGAGGCCGGUUCUGCAAAUUCUGAUUAUGGCAUUCUCUUAGUUGGGAAUUAUCAUGAAUUAUCAUGAAUUUUAAUUAGUUUUUGGAGCAUAUUUGGAAGAGGUCAUUUUUGUACCUGAGAGCAUAUUGAUGCUUAUCUGAUGGAGUUGUGUUGGGUUUGGUCAUGUGUGAACCAUUAAUCGGACUCAUGGAAGAGACACAUGGGGGUCCUGGUAUUAGAGGAACCAUGUGGAUUGCAAGGUCCAAUAUGUUUGGAACCAGCAGCAAGCCAUGAAUAAGAGUAUAGCUAGUACUUGAUGGCGUGAACCAUAAGUACUGAGCUUGGGUGUUAUUAUUCAAGGAAGGCCGUGUGUGAUCUGAUCAUGGGUAAGGAUGGACGACCUGAUCCAUAGAUGAUGGAUCAAGGUGUCUGAUCUGAUUGAUCAAAGGAUGCACCAGUGGUAAGAGGAGGGCUGAUCGGCUUUGUUGGGACAUGGUUCCAUGGCUGGUUAGGUACGUGUGAAGACUCAUCAGCUCUGGGUCAUGUGGGGUGGUUGGUUGAUUGACUCAGGAUCUGAUGGGCAUUGUUAGUCCAUGAGCUGGACUUGGUAUCAUAAGUUGCUAAGGCAAAAGGAUGUGGGACAGUGCAUGAGCCGGUAAGGGCCAGAUGCAUGUCCUUAGCUGUUUGAAGACUUCUCAAGGGUUACUUAUGUCUGUGGGGAUGGUUGGCUGAAUGACUAUGUACCUAAGGGAGUUGUUUUUUGUGUGUAAAGGAGCUGGACGCAGUAUAUGGCAGCUGGCCAUAGCUCGGUCCUAGCUCAGUUCGAGUGUGACAGCUGGAUCAGCUGGUCUAUGAGUUCAUUCAGCUAGAGUAGCUGGGCCGAUGAGCUAACAAGCUCCGUGGAUGUCGCAAAGGUAUGAUCUAGCAAUGUUCCAUAGAUCUAGAUAGAAUGGUUAGGGGAAUGGAACCUCAGAUUUGUAUGCCUUGAUUUGGGUUCGGGACAGACCUUGGAGCUAGCUGGUAGUUGAGUAUACUAACCAUUAGCCGAGGUGAUUCGACCAGACAAGUAUUCUAUUGGCUGUAGACCAAUGGUUAAGUAGAGAAUAUCCGCUGCGUAUGAGUUGAAAUGAUCUAAGCUAGGGAAUGACUAAGGUAGCCUUAAGCUAAGGUCUAAGUUAGCCCUCGCCUAUGGGUAAUAAUAUAGAUAAAGGGCAAAAUUUUGAGAGGUUCGGUCAGUGUAUGGACCGAGCGACGUGAGGCAUCGACCGCGGCCUACUCGGCCGGGAUCGGGUCUUACAAGUUGGUAUCAGAGCAUGCUUGAUACUAGGAUGUUUUGGUUGUGGUUGUUCACCCACACAUCUAGACAAGUGGAUGCUGAUGGGGUUAAUCCGCCAGUUUUGUUGCCGACUCAGUUGGAGAAGGUUAACAAGGGAGGUGGAUUGCCUAACGGUCAGCUCGACCCUACUGAGGUUUGAGUAAGAUGAACUGAGUUGCAGCUGGAACAAGAGCAGGGAACCGGUUUGAUCCGAACAUUGUUGUAAACGAUGGGAAGACUAACCGUUUGAUCAGAUAGCUGCUCCGACAGCUAAUGGUCGAGUUGUGCCAGUAGCUGAGGUGGUCGAGAUAGAUCCACCAGCUAGGGCAUCUCGAAAGGUGGACUACCUGAGUGUUUCUGGAGCACAUAGCUCAAAUGAGAACUAAGCAUUUCUCAGGUAGUAUGAAUCUUAUUGAGGCAGAUGAGUAGAGGAGCCGGUUGGUUCACAACUUCAGCUCAACUCACUGCUCAAAGACAUUAUGUCCCAAAUCAAAAUUAUUUCUGAAAACUGAAGUGACUAUGGAACCUUAGCUGUGGUGAGCCAAGUGAGAGUUGAGGUAAGUUUGGGUUUCAUGCUUGUGAACGGGGAAGUUCCAAGAUGAACUCUCCAAAGGCAAGACCCUGAAACCGAAAGGUUAGUUAUCUAGUUAUUUGGAGGUAAUAGACGUAUUGGAUGAUGGACGCAAUGCAAGAUCUUUGUAUGGACGACCAGGAUAAGGGAAGUAACAUUGACCAGGGAGUGGCUUAGGUUGAAAGAAACGUGCAGCACUCUCUUGGAGGUUAGUGUUAUUCUCUGGUGGCCGUUCUAAACAAGUGAGCAUAUGCGGUGUUCAUAUUGGUCUAAGGGAGACGAUACAUGGCUAGUACAUGAGUGGACUUGUGAUCAGAUGGAUCAGCUUGGACUCAGUGUAAGUCAAUGUAGGAUUCCUUAGAUCAGUUGAAUGGAAUGGAUCAAUUCCAAGAGGAAUUGGACCACAGAAAGAACAUGAUGUUAUGUAUCUUAGUAUGAUGAGGAUUGAGGUAUAUUUUAAACACUCUUGUGAAUGGUAUGGGACGUUCACUGAAGUGUGACAUUUUGGAGAAUGGUAUGGGAUGUUUUCCAAAUGUGUUAUCAAACCGAGAUCCUACUCAACUAGGUACCAAAUGUUGUGGGGAGUGGACCAGGUUCGGUAUGCAAUCGAGUCCAAAGAAGGACCAGGGUUGGCUUACUCGGACGAGUCCAAAUGGGAUAUAGUCAGGAUGGACUAUGAUAUGGUGGUGUCCUCCUAAAGAGUCACAAAGUGAUAUUAGGCAUGGACUGGGUUGGAAAGAAUCGAGCCACCUUGGACUGUCACCGUGGCUGAGUGCAGUUUGGGAGUGGGUGUGGACCCCCGAUCAGGUUCCAAAUUAUUUGACCGACCUCUGGAUGCUUAGUGAUAUCAGCAAUCCAAGUGGAAAGGAUGCUUGAGAAGGGUUGUGAGCCUUACUGGCCACAAUCGCCACUAAGGAGGUUGAAGGGGCUGGUGACCAGGACGGGAUUCCGCUGGUCAGUGAGUUCGAGGACGUGUUUCGGAUGCUACAGGGCAUUCCCCCUGAUAGGGCUGAUCCAAACAUAGCAGAACUGGAACCAGGGAUGGCCCCAAUGUCCAAAAGUCCCUAUUGUAUGGCUCCUGCCGAGAUGGCUGAGCUGAAGUCGAUCAAGUCCAGUGAGGGAUGAGGAUCGCAGCAACAACCAAGUCGGAGAUUGACCUAUGGUUGGGGUGCACGGUUGAGUCCUGGAGUGGACCAGAACCGCAAUAUGAUCAAGUCCGGCAAAGGAUGAGGAUCAGGACACGACCUACUCGGAGAUGGACCUAUGGUCGGGGUGUAACGGUCGAGUCCCUGAGUGGACCAGGACUGGAAUAUGAUCACGUCCUAAAUGGACCAGGAUCGAAAUAUGACAAAGUCCGGUUUGGACAGAAGUCAAGUUGAGGCGGUUUAGUCUUGUAGGGACUAAGAUCGCAAUAUGGCCAAGCUGGGAGAGGCUGUGGCCGGUUAAGGAAUUAUCCAGUAAUUGGUGGCUGGAAUCAUAAACCUUAUUGUCUGGAAAGGACUUAAGGGAACAAAACAAUCUGUUAGGACUCAUGGUAGAGUUAUCAGCCUAAAGAUUGGAACAUGUUCGCUAAGACUUGGCUGGUGCAUCGAGUGGCUUAGAGAUUGGUUGAAUCUACUAAGACAUGAGUACGCAGUAUGUUCCUAGGGACCGAAUUUUAUCUAGUCGUGGACUAAGAUCUGAAAAAUAAUGAAGUCUAGAGUAGACGACAUUCUAAAGAGAAAUAUGGACUUGGUGUCUACAAGGACUGCAACUUGGAGAGUUGGGUCAGUGACACAAGUCAUGUCCUUGUAUGGGUGCUUGAUGGACCACUUGAUAAGAUUUUGGGUUAAAUCUCUAUCAAGUGGGGGAGACAUGUAUAUAUGAUGAUCAAGACGUGAUCAGUGAGAAGGAACAAGGAGGGAGAUGCGAUGAAUUUGUUUGGAAGAACCAAACAAGCAUGCUCCAUGUUCCGGAUGCAAAAAGUUUGAUUGGAACCUUGGUCUUGGGGUAGGGCGUCAGCACCACCGGAUUCGAGGACGAAUCCAUUCUAAGUGGGGGAGACUUGUAGCAUCCCCGAUCCUGGAUAGGACCGUCCGGACAGACCUUAGUGCGAGGAGAUGCACCAGUCAGGUCACAUGACCUAAAGACAAGCGUGUCAUGGUCCAAAACGUGGUUAAGGGAAUCAGGAAGCUGGAACCUAACCAAAAUAAGGCAGAUGCAAGCUCAAAGGAGCUGGACAAGCGAGCUGGUAGCUGGACGAGAUCCAGGUGAAGCUCGAUGAAGUGAGUGAUCAGAAUGGAUCAUGGGAAAACUAAGUCUAGGUCUGGAAAUUGACCAAGGGACUUAGAAGGAUUGAAGAAGAUAAAGGAAGCAAGCUAAACACAGUGUAUAAUAGCUGGGCGAUGCAGUAAGCAAGCUCGACCAGCUAGGUGAAGUGUAGUGCAGCUCGGUGUAGCUCACUGAAGUGUAGGUCAGCUCCCUGAGCUGGAUGGUCUAGCUCACUCAGCGGUAUCAGCUGGGGAUCAGCUCAACUCAGCUGGACUGAGUGUUCAGGUCUUGGGCAGUUGGGCCGGGUCUGGACAGUGGCCGGGCCAUGUGGGUGACCCGUGUGUGCCGAUGGGCUGGUGGGCUCUUGGGAUUGAGCCAGGGGCAUGGGCAUUCCGUGUGUGAUAGUUUUGGACAUGUCCAGGAGUGGUUUGGCAGUUCCAGGGCGUGUGGUAACUGCCAUAGGCGAAAGGGUGCAAUCUGUACCAUUGAUUAAAUCAAUGGCCAGAAAUGAUACCGAAGGGAUGCAAUGGUUAAGAAGUAACCACCCCUUCUCCUAUAUAAGGAAGGCAAGUCCGUGCCUUUCAGGCACGCCAGGGCUUCCUCCUACACCCUGAAACACAAAGAAACACAGAGAAAAGACAGAGAGUUGGUCGGAUUCCCAAUCCAAGACCCAUGGUGGUGUGAAGGCCAUAAAGAGGCAGUUUUGGGAGAGAUCAAGGGGGAAAGUUAUGAACGUCUUUCUGGUGGCUUUUGAUCCGUGAUGUUAUCACCCAAUGCAUCCUCCAGGGCCUGAGAACACACGCAAAUGGUGAGGAGAGAAGGUAGAUGACCCGAAUUCAUUCCUAAAGGCCAAGACAGCCUUAAGGGCAGAUGUGUGUAGAAAGGCAGUUUCAUGGAAGUGCAAGGGGAGUUAUGAACGACCCUGUGGUAGGUUUUCACCACUGAUGAACACGUCCUAGGCUUCCUCUGCAUCUUGGGAACACACGCAAACACCCAGGAGAGAAGGGAGAAGGCAUGAAUAGCCUUGAAGGUGGAUGCAAUGUAGAAACUGGUUUCAUGGAA